UAAUACGGAGGGUGCAAGCGUUAUCCGGAUUCACUGGGUUUAAAGGGUGCGUAGGUGGGCAGGUAAGUCAGUGGUGAAAUCCCCGAGCUUAACUUGGGAACUGCCGUUGAUACUAUCUGUCUUGAAUACUGCGGAGGUAAGCGGAAUAUGUCAUGUAGCGGUGAAAUGCUUAGAGAUGACAUAGAACACCAAUUGCGAAGGCAGCUUGCUACACAGUAAUUGACACUGAGGCACGAAAGCGUGGGGAGCAAACAGG
RNAcentral lists this ribosomal RNA (256 nucleotides) under uncultured bacterium. RNAcentral's name for it is "partial 16S ribosomal RNA". It matches the Rfam family "Bacterial small subunit ribosomal RNA", at positions 521 to 776 of the family's 1533-position model. The record is from RNAcentral.